Molecule: ribosomal RNA, 417 nt
Filed under: uncultured bacterium
Lineage: Bacteria
Description: bacterial SSU rRNA
Rfam family: Bacterial small subunit ribosomal RNA
Source: RNAcentral
AACGCGAAGAACCUUACCUGGCCUUGACAUCCAGAGAACUUAGCAGAGAUGCUUUGGUGCCUUCGGGAACUCUGAGACAGGUGCUGCAUGGCUGUCGUCAGCUCGUGUUGUGAAAUGUUGGGUUAAGUCCCGCAACGAGCGCAACCUUUAUCCUUUGUUGCCAGCGGCUCGGCCGGGAACUCAAAGGAGACUGCCGGUGAUAAACCGGAGGAAGGUGGGGAUGACGUCAAGUCAUCAUGGCCCUUACGGCCAGGGCUACACACGUGCUACAAUGGCGCAUACAAAGAGAAGCGACCUCGCGAGAGCAAGCGGACCUCAUAAAGUGCGUCGUAGUCCGGAUUGGAGUCUGCAACUCGACUCCAUGAAGUCGGAAUCGCUAGUAAUCGUAGAUCAGAAUGCUACGGUGAAUACGUUCCC